CCUACGGGGGGCAGCAGUAGGGAAUUUUCGUCAAUGGGCGCAAGCCUGAACGAGCAAUACCGCGUGAACGAGGAAGGUCUUCGGAUCGUAAAGUUCUGUUGAAGGGGAAAAAGAGCGGAGAGAGGAAAUGAACUCCGAUUGAUAUUACCCUUCGAGGAAGUCACGGCUAACUACGUGCCAGCAGCCUCGGUAAUACGUAGGUGGCGAGCGUUAUCCGGAAUGAUUGGGCGGAAAGGGUGCGUAGGCGGCCUGCUAAGUCUGGAGUGAAGGGUACCGGCUCAACCGGUACAGGCUAUGGGAACUGGGGGGCUAGAGGGCAGGAGAGGGAGGUGGAAAUCCAUGUGUAGCGGUAAAAUGCGUAGAUAUAUGGAAGAAAACCAGUGGGGAAGGCGGCCGCCUGGCCUGUUGACUGACGCUGAGGCACGAAAGCGUGGGGAGCAAAUAGGAUUAGAUACCCUUGUAGUC
This 465-nucleotide ribosomal RNA is filed under the name uncultured bacterium. RNAcentral's name for it is "partial 16S ribosomal RNA". It matches the Rfam family "Bacterial small subunit ribosomal RNA", at positions 338 to 795 of the family's 1533-position model. The record is from RNAcentral.